GACGAACGCUGGCGGCGUGCUUAACACAUGCAAGUCGAACGGAAAGGCCCUGCUUUUGUGGGGUGCUCGAGUGGCGAACGGGUGAGUAACACGUGAGUAACCUGCCCUUGACUUUGGGAUAACUUCAGGAAACUGGGGCUAAUACCGGAUAGGAGCUCCUGCUGCACGGGGGGGGUUGGAAAGUUUCGGCGGUUGGGGAUGGACUCGCGGCUUAUCAGCUUGUUGGUGGGGUAGUGGCUUACCAAGGCUUUGACGGGUAGCCGGCCUGAGAGGGUGACCGGCCACAUUGGGACUGAGAGACGGCCCAGACUCCUACGGGAGGCAGCAGUGGGGAAUAUUGCACAAUGGGCGGAAGCCUGAUGCAGCAACGCCGCGUGCGGGAUGACGGCCUUCGGGUUGUAAACCGCUUUCGCCUGUGACGAAGCGUGAGUGACGGUAAUGGGUAAAGAAGCACCGGCUAACUACGUG
Molecule: ribosomal RNA, 468 nt
Filed under: uncultured bacterium
Lineage: Bacteria
Description: partial 16S ribosomal RNA
Rfam family: Bacterial small subunit ribosomal RNA
Source: RNAcentral